Molecule: ribosomal RNA, 253 nt
Filed under: uncultured bacterium
Lineage: Bacteria
Description: partial 16S ribosomal RNA
Rfam family: Bacterial small subunit ribosomal RNA
Source: RNAcentral
UACGGGGGGGGCAAGCGUUGUUCGGAAUUACUGGGCGUAAAGGGCUCGUAGGCGGCCAACUAAGUCGGAUGUGAAAUCCCCAGGCUUAACCUGGGAACUGCAUCCGAUACUGGAUGGCUUGAAUUCGGGAGAGGGAUGCAGAAUUCCAGGUGUAGCGGUGAAAUGCGUAGAUAUCUGGAGGAAUACCGGUGGCGAAGGCGGCAUCCUGGACCGACAUUGACGCUGAUGAGCGAAAGCUAGGGGAGCAAACGGG